RNAcentral lists this ribosomal RNA (468 nucleotides) under uncultured bacterium. Its description in RNAcentral is "partial 16S ribosomal RNA". It matches the Rfam family "Bacterial small subunit ribosomal RNA", at positions 28 to 507 of the family's 1533-position model. The record is from RNAcentral.
GACGAACGCUGGCGGCGUGCUUAACACAUGCAAGUCGAACGGAAAGGCCCUGCUUUUGUGGGGUGCUCGAGUGGCGAACGGGUGAGUAACACGUGAGUAACCUGCCCUUGACUUUGGGAUAACUUCAGGAAACUGGGGCUAAUACCGGAUAGGAGCUCCUGCUGCAUGGUGGUGGUUGGAAAGUUUCGGCGGUUGGGGAUGGACUCGCGGCUUAUCAGCUUGUUGGUGGGGUAGUGGCUUACCAAGGCUUUGACGGGUAGCCGGCCUGAGAGGGUGACCGGCCACAAUGGGACUGAGAUACGGCCCAGACUGCUACGGGAGGCAGCAGGGGGGAAUAUUGCACAAUGGGCGGAAGCCUGAUGCAGCAACGCCGCGUGCGGGAUGACGGCCUUCGGGUUGUAAACCGCUUUCGCCUGUGACGAAGCGUGAGUGACGGUAAUGGGUAAAGAAGCACCGGCUAACUACGUG